AGGCUACUGCUAUUGGAAUUCGACUAAGCCAUGCGAGUCAAGGUGUCUUCGGACGCCGGCAAACGGCUCAGUAACACGUAGGUAAUCUACCCUCAGGACUGAGAUAACCCCGGGAAACUGGGGCUAAUACCAGAUAGAUAAAAGAUACUGGAAUGUUCUUUUAUCCAAAGCUUUUGUGCCUGAGGAUGAGCCUGCGCCCGAUUAGGUAGUUGGUGGGGUAAUGGCCCACCAAGCCUGCGAUCGGUACGGGCAGUGGGAGCUGUAGCCCGGAGUUGGGGACUGAGACAAGGCCCCAGGCCCUACGGGGCGCAGCAGGCGCGAAACCUCUGCAAUGCGGGAAACCGUGACAGGGGGAUUCCAAGUGCUCAUGCAUUGCAUGGGCUGUUCUUUGGUCUAAGUAACCAGAGGAGUAAGGGCUGGGCAAGACCGGUGCCAGCCGCCGCGGUAAUACCGGCAGCUCGAGUGGUAGCCGCGAUUAUUGGGCCUAAAACGUUCGUAGCCGGAUAAGUAAGUCUUUGGUUAAAUCCUACGACUUAACCGUGGGAAAUCUAGAGAUACUGCUUGUCUUGAGACCGGGAGAGGNNNNAGGUACUCCCAGGGUANGGGGUGAAAUCCUGUAAUCCUGGGGGGACCACCUGUGGCGAAGGCGUCCAACUGGAACGGCUCUGACGGUGAGGGAUGAAAGCUGGGGGAGCGAACCGGAUUAGAUACCCGGGUAGUCCCAGCUGUAAACGAUGCAGGCUAGGUGUUUGGACGGCCACGUGCCGUUCUAGUGCCGCAGGGAAGCUGUUAAGCCUGCCGCCUGGGGAGUACGAUCGCAAGAUUGAAACUUAAAGGAAUUGGCGGGGGAGCACCACAAGGGGUGAAGCUUGCGGUUUAAUUGGAGUCAACGCCGGAAAUCUCACCGGGAGCGACAGCAGUGUGAAGGCCAGAUUAAAGGUCUUGCCAGACGAGCUGAGAGGAGGUGCAUGGCCGUCGCCAGUUCGUGCCGUGAGGUGUCCUGUUAAGUCAGGCAACGAUCGAGACCCGCGUCCUCUGUUGCUACUAGCCUUGUGCUGGGCACACUGAGGAGACCGCCACUGAUAAAGUGGAGGAAGGAGCGGGCCACGGCAGGUCAGUAUGCCCCGAAUCUCCCGGGCCACACGCGAGCUGCAAUGGCAGGUACAAUGAGUUCCGACCUCGAAAGGGGGAGGCAAUCUCGAAAGCCUGCCGUAGUUGGGAUCGAAGGCUGCAACCCGCCUUCGUGAACAUGGAAUCCCUAGUAAUCGCGUGUCAUCAGCGCGCGGUGAAUACGUCCCUGCUCCU
This 1305-nucleotide ribosomal RNA is filed under the name uncultured archaeon. RNAcentral's name for it is "bacterial SSU rRNA". It matches the Rfam family "Archaeal small subunit ribosomal RNA", at positions 21 to 1337 of the family's 1478-position model. The record is from RNAcentral.